This 3041-nucleotide ribosomal RNA is filed under the name Klebsiella oxytoca. RNAcentral's name for it is "23S ribosomal RNA". It matches the Rfam family "Bacterial large subunit ribosomal RNA". Lineage: Bacteria; Pseudomonadati; Pseudomonadota; Gammaproteobacteria; Enterobacterales; Enterobacteriaceae. The record is from RNAcentral.
GGGUUGUGAGGUUAAGCGACUAAGCGUACACGGUGGAUGCCCUGGCAGUCAGAGGCGAUGAAGGACGUGCUAAUCUGCGAAAAGCGUCGGUAAGGUGAUAUGAACCGUUACAGCCGGCGAUGUCCGAAUGGGGAAACCCAGUGCAAUUCGUUGCACUAUCGUUAACUGAAUACAUAGGUUAACGAGGCGAACCGGGGGAACUGAAACAUCUAAGUACCCCGAGGAAAAGAAAUCAACCGAGAUUCCCCCAGUAGCGGCGAGCGAACGGGGAGCAGCCCGGAGUCUGAAUCAGCUUGUGUGUUAGUGGAAGCGUCUGGAAAGUCGCAGGGUACAGGGUGAUACUCCCGUACACUAAAACACACAGGUUGUGAACUCGAAGAGUAGGGCGGGACACGUGGUAUCCUGUCUGAAUAUGGGGGGACCAUCCUCCAAGGCUAAAUACUCCUGACUGACCGAUAGUGAACCAGUACCGUGAGGGAAAGGCGAAAAGAACCCCGGCGAGGGGAGUGAAAAAGAACCUGAAACCGUGUACGUACAAGCAGUAGGAGCCCCACCACCAAAGCGUUUCGCUUUGCGUGGUGCGCAAAAUGCGUAACGACAGCAUGAUGGACGGUUAACGGAGCGUCAGCGACGUUCAACCUCAAAAAUCAGGCAGUGGAGCGUUUUGGGGUGGGGUGACUGCGUACCUUUUGUAUAAUGGGUCAGCGACUUAUAUUCUGUAGCAAGGUUAACCGAAUAGGGGAGCCGCAGGGAAACCGAGUCUUAACUGGGCGUUAAGUUGCAGGGUAUAGACCCGAAACCCGGUGAUCUAGCCAUGGGCAGGUUGAAGGUUGGGUAACACUAACUGGAGGACCGAACCGACUAAUGUUGAAAAAUUAGCGGAUGACUUGUGGCUGGGGGUGAAAGGCCAAUCAAACCGGGAGAUAGCUGGUUCUCCCCGAAAGCUAUUUAGGUAGCGCCUCGUGAACUCAUCUUCGGGGGUAGAGCACUGUUUCGGCUAGGGGGUCAUCCCGACUUACCAACCCGAUGCAAACUACGAAUACCGAAGAAUGUUAUCACGGGAGACACACGGCGGGUGCUAACGUCCGUCGUGAAGAGGGAAACAACCCAGACCGCCAGCUAAGGUCCCAAAGUCAUGGUUAAGUGGGAAACGAUGUGGGAAGGCCCAGACAGCCAGGAUGUUGGCUUAGAAGCAGCCAUCAUUUAAAGAAAGCGUAAUAGCUCACUGGUCGAGUCGGCCUGCGCGGAAGAUGUAACGGGGCUAAACCAUGCACCGAAGCUGCGGCAGCGACACUAUGUGUUGUUGGGUAGGGGAGCGUUCUGUAAGCCGUUGAAGGUGGCCUGUGAGGGUUGCUGGAGGUAUCAGAAGUGCGAAUGCUGACAUAAGUAACGAUAAUGCGGGUGAAAAACCCGCACGCCGGAAGACCAAGGGUUCCUGUCCAACGUUAAUCGGGGCAGGGUGAGUCGACCCCUAAGGCGAGGCCGAAAGGCGUAGUCGAUGGGAAACAGGUUAAUAUUCCUGUACUUGGUGUUACUGCGAAGGGGGGACGGAGAAGGCUAUGUUGGCCGGGCGACGGUUGUCCCGGUUUAAGCAUGUAGGCGGAUGUUCCAGGUAAAUCCGGAACGUCACUAACGCUGAGGUGUGAUGACGAGGCACUACGGUGCUGAAGUGACAAAUGCCCUGCUUCCAGGAAAAGCCUCUAAGCAUCAGGUAACAUCAAAUCGUACCCCAAACCGACACAGGUGGUCAGGUAGAGAAUACCAAGGCGCUUGAGAGAACUCGGGUGAAGGAACUAGGCAAAAUGGUGCCGUAACUUCGGGAGAAGGCACGCUGAUGGUAGGUGAAGUGACUUGCUCAUGGAGCUGAAAUCAGUCGAAGAUACCAGCUGGCUGCAACUGUUUAUUAAAAACACAGCACUGUGCAAACACGAAAGUGGACGUAUACGGUGUGACGCCUGCCCGGUGCCGGAAGGUUAAUUGAUGGGGUUAUCCUCACGGAGAAGCUCUUGAUCGAAGCCCCGGUAAACGGCGGCCGUAACUAUAACGGUCCUAAGGUAGCGAAAUUCCUUGUCGGGUAAGUUCCGACCUGCACGAAUGGCGUAAUGAUGGCCAGGCUGUCUCCACCCGAGACUCAGUGAAAUUGAACUCGCUGUGAAGAUGCAGUGUACCCGCGGCAAGACGGAAAGACCCCGUGAACCUUUACUAUAGCUUGACACUGAACACUGGUCCUUGAUGUGUAGGAUAGGUGGGAGGCUUUGAAGUGUGGACGCCAGUCUGCAUGGAGCCAUCCUUGAAAUACCACCCUUUAAUGGCUGGUGUUCUAACGUGGGCCCGUGAUCCGGGUUGCGGACAGUGUCUGGUGGGUAGUUUGACUGGGGCGGUCUCCUCCUAAAGAGUAACGGAGGAGCACGAAGGUCAGCUAAUCCUGGUCGGACAUCAGGAGGUUAGUGCAAUGGCAUAAGCUGGCUUGACUGCGAGCGUGACGGCGCGAGCAGGUGCGAAAGCAGGUCAUAGUGAUCCGGUGGUUCUGAAUGGAAGGGCCAUCGCUCAACGGAUAAAAGGUACUCCGGGGAUAACAGGCUGAUACCGCCCAAGAGUUCAUAUCGACGGCGGUGUUUGGCACCUCGAUGUCGGCUCAUCACAUCCUGGGGCUGAAGUAGGUCCCAAGGGUAUGGCUGUUCGCCAUUUAAAGUGGUACGCGAGCUGGGUUUAGAACGUCGUGAGACAGUUCGGUCCCUAUCUGCCGUGGGCGCUGGAGAAUUGAGGGGGGCUGCUCCUAGUACGAGAGGACCGGAGUGGACGCAUCACUGGUGUUCGGGUUGUCAUGCCAAUGGCAUUGCCCGGUAGCUAAAUGCGGAAGAGAUAAGUGCUGAAAGCAUCUAAGCACGAAACUUGCCCCGAGAUGAGUUCUCCCUGACUCCUUGAGAGUCCUGAAGGAACGUUGAAGACGACGACGUUGAUAGGCCGGGUGUGUAAGCGCAGCGAUGCGUUGAGCUAACCGGUACUAAUGAACCGUGAGGCUUAACCUUACAACGCCGAAG